AUACUUACCUGGAUGGGGCUUUAUGGGUGAUCAAGAAUGCCUGUGGCCUAGAAUAACGGCCUUCAUUGCACUUUGAAGGGGCGCUGGUUUACCAUAUGCCCAAGUGGUAGAGUGGACGUCAUAAUUUGUGUAUGCAGCUCAUCUUGAUCACAUAGUUGA
Molecule: small nuclear RNA, 159 nt
Organism: Dendrobium catenatum
Lineage: Eukaryota; Viridiplantae; Streptophyta; Magnoliopsida; Asparagales; Orchidaceae
Product: U1 spliceosomal RNA
Exons: 1
Source: RefSeq, a predicted model, not a curated record